GCCUGCUCUAUGUCUAUUAAUCCAUCCUUCCUUUCAAUCUUUCUGCAUGGUCCUCUUCUUACCUCUUCUUACCUGCUAUGAAAUUGCCAGAUGACAAUGGCUGGACGAAUCAUUCCUGACUGAUUUUUUUUUUUUUCUUCUUAUAAAGUUAACCUCAUUUCCCUGUUACUUGUAUGUGUAGCAAGUCUCUAAUUAGCUGUUUCCUAUUCAGACAUCCCACGUGUCUCUACUUGAUUUCAAUUUCAGUGAGUAAAGCAUCUUGCAAUAAAUCAGGAAAGAUCUGUGAAGAGGAAAUUUGUUUUCUAGUGGGUAUGUUGUCAUUGGCAGAUCACAAACUAAGUCCUGCAAGCGAUAGAGACAGCCUUUGGAAAGUUCUGGGAACCAGAGGCUUGCAAAAAAAAAAGUUUUGGUGACAUGAGAACUCAGCAAGUCAGAGUCUGAGAACUGAGACCAGGCGCCUGAGAAAGAAACAUCGAUGUCUGGAAGGAAGCAGGGCCUCAGGAAGGAUACAGUGAGUCUGGGACUUGCAAAGUGCAUUGUGUCUUAGAACUGCUGGUGAGAUAUUUCAUUGCUUUAGAACUUUGUUUCAGUUUUGUCUACAGAAAGGAAGAUCAUACUUUGUUUGCUUUAGUUCUCACACAUCAGGCUUGAUAUUCCAUGUGAGCUUUUUUGGAGUUAAGACCUGAAGAUGCCAGUGCAUCCCUGGUGCUGGGGACCUUAAAGACUCAGACGCUUAAAAGUGAAUGGGUCUACUUUGAAACAACCCUACUUAAUGAUAAUUUCAGUAGUGAAUCACAUAGAAAAAGGUGUUUACAUCCUCUGGAUUGCCUUGCUUUUGGGUAUGUUUCCCAGAGGUGCUUGCACAUUAAAUACUCUCCUUCUGUUACAUAAAUCACCUUUUCCUACAACUCCACAAGCACUGCAGGUUCACACAUAAAACAGUGCUUCUGGAGCCCACUGCUGUAAGAUUGCAUAAUCAUUCAUGCAGCUUAUUCAUCAGAGAGAGGAGAAUGAGGCUACUUUGCUGCUGUUGUGUGUAGAAUAUGCAGAAAAGCAAUGGUUAAAUAACAGCAGUAGCAGCCAAUGAAGCACCUGGAUUUGGCUAGCUACACAAAUGGACAAAAAGGAGGAUUUUCUUCCUACUUCUUCAUUAACAUAAGUGAUUAUGUGUUGUCUUUGCUGAUCACUACAUACAGAUUAUAGAUAAAUCAGGGCAGAAAACUGUGAGAAGAAGGUAAGAGACUGUGUGAAACAGAUGGAGAAAUACAUUGGAAGGUAGCUUUGGGACGAUGAGAAAGAGGAAAGGGAAAGAGUGAGAUCAUUGCCCUGGAGAUUAAAGAGCAAUUCAAGACCUCUUCCUAUCAGUGAGGAUUAGGAUGGCAGGGGAAUGCUCUUAUAGGUUGCUUAUACGUUGCUAUUUAUUUGUCUGGAUUUUUGUUUGUUUAUUUGUUUGUUUGAAUAUAUAAUAGUCAAUAAUCUUUUGUAGAGAAUAGGCAAUAAACAUCUAUGGCUUUAAAAACCA
This 1522-nucleotide long non-coding RNA is filed under the name Anas platyrhynchos platyrhynchos (common mallard). Its description in RNAcentral is "lncRNA (ENSAPLG00000020845.1)". The record is from RNAcentral. Lineage: Eukaryota; Metazoa; Chordata; Aves; Anseriformes; Anatidae.